This 365-nucleotide unclassified non-coding RNA is filed under the name uncultured bacterium. Its description in RNAcentral is "contains 16S-23S intergenic spacer region". The record is from RNAcentral.
UCCCUGUUACCAGGGCAGUCUGUUUAGAAAAAUCCAACUAAACAUAAGGGUUGCGCUCGUUACGGGACUUAACCCGACAUCUCACGACACGAGCUGACGACGGCCAUGCAUCACCUGUCACCGAUCCAACUAAAUGAAGUUCUCCUUUCGGAGAACGGCGAUCGGGAUGUCAAACCUUGGUAAGGUUUUCGUUUACCAUCGAAUUAAACCACACGCUCCACCGCUUGUGCGGGUCCCCGUCAAUUCCUUUGAGUUUUAAACUUGCGUUCGUACUACUCAGGCGGGAUGCUUAACGCGUUAGCUUCGCUUCGGAGGGGGUCGAUUCCCCCCAAUAGCUAGCAUCCAUAGUUUACGGCGUGGACUAC